GGAACAUAAUAUAAGUCAUUUUGGCUGUGGAAUCCAAAAAGCUUUUGUGCUUCAAAAAUGCAUUAUAUUAUUUUCCUUUUUAAGAUAUUCUUGAGCAUAUGGCUCAAUGAUAUAUGCUCUUAGGUUAUAAUUAGAGGUCAAGGUUCGAAACUGGAGUGGUGUUAUUCAUUUUAAAAAUGGAAAAAAAAAAAAACUUGAGAGAUGUUAUCCUUCAAGCAUUUCAGCUCUUAUUUUAAGCUCAGGCUGUACAGUGUGAUAGACUAAAUUUGCCACCUAGUAGCUAUAGAGUGGCUUCGACCUGCUUUAUUUUAGAGAGAGCAUGAUAGAAAG
This 330-nucleotide long non-coding RNA is filed under the name Elaeis guineensis (African oil palm). Its description in RNAcentral is "long non-coding RNA (EGUI_LNC062946)". The record is from RNAcentral. Lineage: Eukaryota; Viridiplantae; Streptophyta; Magnoliopsida; Arecales; Arecaceae.